GACGAACGCUGGCGGCGUGCUUAACACAUGCAAGUCGAACGGAAAGGCCCAGCUUGCUGGGUGCUCGAGUGGCGAACGGGUGAGUAACACGUGGGUGAUCUGCCUCUAACUUCGGGAUAAGCUUGGGAAACUGGGUCUAAUACCGGAUAGGACAAUCGUUUAGUGUCGGUUGUGGAAAGUUUUUUCGGUUAGGGAUGAGCCCGCGGCCUAUCAGCUUGUUGGCGGGGUAAUGGCCUACCAAGGCGUCGACGGGUAGCCGGCCUGAGAGGGUGGACGGCCACAUUGGGACUGAGAUACGGCCCAGACUCCUACGGGAGGCAGCAGUGGGGAAUAUUGCACAAUGGGCGCAGGCCUGAUGCAGCGACGCCGCGUGGGGGAUGACGGCCUUCGGGUUGUAAACCUCUUUCGACAGGGACGAAGCUUUGGUGACGGUACCUGUAGAAGAAGCACCGGCUAACUACGUG
This 464-nucleotide ribosomal RNA is filed under the name uncultured bacterium. Its description in RNAcentral is "partial 16S ribosomal RNA". It matches the Rfam family "Bacterial small subunit ribosomal RNA", at positions 28 to 507 of the family's 1533-position model. The record is from RNAcentral.